Molecule: ribosomal RNA, 484 nt
Filed under: uncultured bacterium
Lineage: Bacteria
Description: partial 16S ribosomal RNA
Rfam family: Bacterial small subunit ribosomal RNA
Source: RNAcentral
AUUGAACGCUGGCGGCAGGCCUAACACAUGCAAGUCGAGCGGAUGAAGGGAGCUUGCUCCUGGAUUCAGCGGCGGACGGGUGAGUAAUGCCUAGGAAUCUGCCUGGUAGUGGGGGAUAACGUCCGGAAACGGGCGCUAAUACCGCAUACGACCUGAGGGAGAAAGUGGGGGAUCUUCGGACCUCACGCUAUCAGAUGAGCCUAGGUCGGAUUAGCUAGUUGGUGGGGUAAAGGCCUACCAAGGCGACGAUCCGUAACUGGUCUGAGAGGAUGAUCAGUCACACUGGAACUGAGACACGGUCCAGACUCCUACGGGAGGCAGCAGUGGGGAAUAUUGGACAAAGGGCGAAAGCCUGAUCCAGCCAUGCCGCGUGUGUGAAGAAGGUCUUCGGAUUGUAAAGCACUUUAAGUUGGGUGGAAGGGCAGUAAGUUAAUACCUUGCUGUUUUGACGUUACCAACAGAAUAAGCACCGGCUAACUUCGUG